GCCCGCCGCUCCGUCGUCCUCUCCCCGCCCGCCCCGCAGCCCCCGAUGGACUUCCCGGCCGACGGGAACAACAACCCCCCGCCCCGCCGCCGCGGCGGCCGCGCCUCCAACGCCGACAAGGGCAAGGAGCAGCAGGAGCCCUCGGAGAGCUCCCGCGUGCGCGAGGCCGAGCGGAUGCUGGGCCUCAGCUUCGACGGCAUGGACGACGACGACGAGGGCCACGGGGCCUUCCCCCACGGCCUCACCUCCGCCAGCAGCGCCCUGCAGGGGCUGCUCAGGAAGCUCGGCGCCGGCCUGGACGACAUGCUGCCGUCGUCCGCCCUCUCCGCCGCCGCCGCGGCUGCCUCCUCGUCGUCCAUGUCUGGGCCGAACGGCGCGCGGAUGAAGAGCAUGCUCGCGGGUCUCCGUGCCGACGGGGAGGAGGGGCGCCAGGUGGAGGCGCUGACCCAGCUCUGUGAGAUGCUGUCCAUCGGCACCGAGGACACCCUCGCCGGGUUCUCGGUGGACUCAUUCGUGCCUGUUCUGGUCGGGCUGCUCAACCACGAGAGCAACCCUGACAUCAUGCUGCUCGCUGCGCGGGCCCUGACCCACCUCUGUGACGUGCUGCCGUCGUCCUGCUCUGCCGUUGUGCACUAUGGCGCCGUGGCAUGCUUCUGCGCCCGGCUUCUCACCAUUGAAUAUAUGGACCUUGCGGAGCAGUCCUUACAAGCACUCAAGAAGAUAUCCCAGGAGCAUCCAACUGCCUGCUUGAGGGCUGGCGCGCUAAUGGCAGUGCUAUCAUAUCUUGACUUCUUCUCCACCGGUGUUCAAAGAGUUGCGUUAUCUACAGCUGCCAAUAUGUGUAGGAAGCUUCCUUCAGACGCCUCAGAUUUUGUAAUGGAAGCGGUUCCACUGCUAACAAAUCUUCUGAACUACCAUGAUGCAAAAGUGCUGGAACAUGCUUCUGUUUGCCUGACUCGUAUAGCAGAAUCGUUUGCUUCAUCCCCAGAGAAAUUAGAUCAAUUGUGCAAUUAUGGAUUGGUUGCACAAGCUGCUAGCUUAAUAGCUGUUAGCAACUCAGCGGGACAAGCAUCACUGAGUACAUUAACAUAUACAGGAGUAAUUCGUGUUCUGUCAAUAUGUGCAAGUGGAUCUCCAUUGGCAGCUAAAACACUCCUCCUCCAUGGAAUUAGCGGCACACUUAAAGAUAUCCUUUCAGGUUCUGGUUUGGUUGCUGGUACAACUGUAUCCCCCACUAGGCCAGCUGAUCAGAUGUAUGAAAUUGUGAACCUUGCCGACGAAUUGCUUCCUCCUCUACCUGCUGGAACCAUUUCUUUACCAGCGCAUUCCCAUGUUUUUAUGAAAGGCUCUUCUGUAAAGAAACCUGGUUCUAGCAAGCAAGGCGAGUCUGGUUCAACAGAUAUUAAAGUCUCGGGUCGGGAGAAGUUAUUACGUGAUCAGCCUGAACUUCUCCAGCAAUUUGGCAUGGACAUAUUACCUACCAUGACACAGGUGUAUGGCUCCAGUGUAAAUGGACCAAUACGUCAUAAAUGCUUAUCUGUCAUUGCUAAAUUAAUGUAUUACAGCUCAGCGGAAAUGAUCGAAAUUCUCCAUGGCACAACAAACAUAUCCAGCUUCUUAGCUGGCAUCUUAGCUUGGAAAGAUCCACAUGUGUUGGUUCCCGCUCUCCAGAUAGCUGAAAUUCUGAUGGAAAAGCUCCCUGGGACAUUUUCGAAGAUGUUUGUGAGGGAAGGUGUUGUUCAUGCUGUAGAAUCGCUUAUAUGCCAGGAAAUCUCAAGUCCAAUGCUUUUUCAAGUACCACAGCAGGACAAGGAUAUUGAUUCUGGUACAUGUACAUCUUCACGUUCAAGACGCAGCCGCCGGCGCAGCAGUGCUGGGAAUACUGAUAAUAAUUCCUUGGAUGAACCAAAGGGUUCCCAUACUACUAUUGCCAAUUCACCACCAAGCACGCUAGAAGGUCCAAAUACUAGAAUUCGUGCUUCAGUUAGUGAUCGUGCGAAGUCAUUCAAAGAUAAGUACUUCCCCUCUGAACCCGGCUCAAGUGAUAUUGCAGUUACUGAUGACCUUUUGAAGCUACGGGCACUCUGUGCAAAAUUAAAUGCCACUGCGGACACUGUUAAAACAAAAGCCAAAGGGAAAUCAAAGUCACUGGGAGGUGAUGAUUUUGAUAUCUUAUGCAAUGUCGAGGAACAGUUAGACGAUAUCAUAGAUAAAAUAUUGUCUGAGCUUAGCAAUGGGGAUGGGGUUUCCACGUUUGAGUUUAUUGGGAGUGGAGUUAUCUCAGCAUUGCUUAAUUAUUUGUCUUGUGGAACCUUUGGAAAGGAAAAGGUGUCCGAAGCAAACCUACCCAAGUUGCGUCACCUGGCACUCAGGCGAUAUAAAGCAUUUAUAUAUGUUGCCCUUCCAAAUGAUGCGGUAGGGAAUCAAACUCCAAUGGCAUUCUUAGUUCAAAAACUGCAAAGCGCGUUGUCUUCGCUGGAACGGUUCCCAGUUGUGAUUAGCCAUUCUGGAAGGACGUCCAGUUUGGGAGGAUCUCGUCCAUCCUCUGGAUUAAGUGCUCUAUCUCAGCCCCUGAAGUUGCGCCUGUGUCGAGCAGCGGGUGAAAAAAUGCUUAAGGAUUAUUCAUCCAAUAUAGUUCUUAUUGAUCCCUUGGCAAGUUUAGCAGCCGUUGAAGAUUUCCUUUGGUCUAGAAUCCAGCGUAGCGAGUCAAUAUCUUAUCCUGCAGUAUCAUCUGGAAAGAAUUCUGAAUCUGUGGCACCUAGUGCAACAGCACCAGUGGCUUCGUCAACUCAAUCUGUCCGGCGGCCCUCAACUAGGUCGAAAUCAUUGGCUGAUGCUGAUUCUGCAACUAAGAAGGAUAUUCAGGAGGGGAGCGGAAACACAUCCAAGGGAAAAGGCAAAGCUGUUGUUAAGUCGACGUCCGAUGAACCUAAAGGACCACAUACUAGGACUGCAGCACGCAGAAAAGUUGCUUCACAGAAAGAUGCAGAAGUGAAGCCACCACACGGUCACAGUAGCUCAGAGGACGAAGAACUGGGCGCAUCUCCCUUCGAGGCUGAUGAUGCUUUGAUGCUUGGUGAUGACGAUGAUGAUGUUUCAGAUGAUGAAGACGAUGAUCAUGAGGUUCUACGUGGGUCUCUUCCUGACUGUGUUCCAGAGAGUGUGCAUGAUGUAAAACUGGCAGAUGCUGAUGGAUCUAGUAUUGCCUCAAUAGCAAGUGAUAACCAGACACAACCCUCAUCUGGCUCCAGCAUAAAACAUACUUUUAGUAGCAGGGGAGCAGGUUCUGUUGAACUUAGAAAUCCAAGCACACUUGGUUCGCGGGGCGCGAUGUCGUUUGCUGCAGCUGCCAUGGCUGGGCUUGCUUCUGUUGGUAGUCGUGGUAUCAGAGGUAGCCAGGAUAGGCGUGGCCUUCCACUUGGAACUAGUGCACAUGAGCAUUCGAACAAAUUGAUUUUUACAGCUGGCGGCAAGCAGCUUAGCAAGCAUUUGACCGUAUAUCAAGCUAUGCAACAGCAAGUAGUUCAUGAUGAGGAUGAUGAGGAAAGGUUAGGUGGUUCUGAUUUACCCAAUGAUGGAAGCCGUCUCUGGAGUGAUGUGUUCACUAUAACAUAUCAAAAGGCUGAUAACGAAGUGGAUAGGGAAUCAACCAGAGGUUCAUCUUUAGUGCUGAAAUCGUCCAAAUCAGAACUUUGCAGAGCUACAUCUCAAGAACAAUGUAUUUCUCUUCUUGAUAGCAUUUUGCAAGGAGAACUUCCUUGUGAUAUUGAGAAAUCGACCCAAACUUAUAAUAUUUUAGCACUAUUGCGUGUAUUGGAGGGAUUGAAUCAGCUAUCUCCUCGUCUGAGACUACAGGCAACCUGUGAUGAUUUUAUAGAGGGAAAAGUUGGUACCCUGGAUGGGUUAUAUGGCACCGGAGCUAAGGUACCCUCAGAGGAGUUUAUCAGCAGUAAGUUGACACCAAAGCUUGCUCGGCAAAUUCAGGAUGUUCUUGCACUCUGCAGUGGUAGUUUACCUUCUUGGUGUUAUCAGAUGACCAAAGCUUGUCCAUUUCUGUUUCCUUUUGAAACAAGAAGACAACACUUCUACUCCACAGCUUUUGGGUUAUCUAGGGCAUUGAAUCGUCUUCAGCAACAACAGGGUGAUAAUAAUAGCUCAGCGACUGAAAGAGAAGUCCGGAUUGGUAGAUUGCAACGCCAGAAAGUUCGUGUUUCUCGUAACCGGAUCCUGGAUUCUGCUGCCAAAGUAAUGGAGAUGUUCUCCAAUCAGAAGGCUGUUCUUGAAGUUGAAUACUUUGGUGAAGUGGGAACUGGACUUGGUCCAACUUUGGAGUUCUACACCCUCUUAAGUCAUGACCUGCAAAGGGUUGGCUUGGGAUUAUGGAGAUCUGAUUCUGAUUCUUUAGAAGCUAAAAAAGUUGAUUCGCAUUCACCUGCUGAUAGCAGGAACUUGAUACAAGCACCUCUUGGCUUGUUCCCUCGGCCUUGGCCACCUAGUACUGCUUCUUCAGAGGGUAGUAAAUUCUUCAAAGUUGUGGAGUAUUUCCGCUUAGUUGGUCGAAUCAUGGCAAAAGCAUUGCAAGAUGGAAGGCUUCUUGAUUUGCCUUUGUCAACAGCAUUUUAUAAGCUUCUACUUGGACAAGAACUUGAUUUGUAUGACAUACUAUCUUUUGAUGCUGAGCUUGGUAAAAUACUUCGAGAGUUGCAAGUUCUUGUUGAACGCAAGCGAUUUCUGGAGUCCUGCUCUAAUCAUAGUCAACAAAUAGAAGAAUUGGGCUUUCAUGGUGCUCCUAUUGAAGACCUAUGCUUAGAUUUUACUCUUCCGGGCUAUCCGGAUUUUGUUCUGAAGGAAGGUGAAGAAAAUACAGUGGUCUGCAUUUACAACUUAGAAGAGUACAUUUCGCUGGUAGUGGAUGCUACACUUAAGACUGGAAUAAUGCGUCAAGUAGAAGCAUUCAAAGCUGGAUUUAAUCAGGUAUUUGAUAUAUCAUCACUCCAAAUAUUUUCUCCUCAAGAGCUUGACUAUCUCAUUUGUGGUCGACGGGAACUUUGGGAGCCGGAGACACUGGUCGAACAUAUAAAGUUUGAUCAUGGUUAUACCUCGAAGAGUCCAGCAAUUGUCAAUCUACUUGAGAUCAUGACAGAAUUUACUCCGGAGCAACAACAUGCAUUCUGCCAGUUUGUGACUGGUGCUCCUCGGCUUCCACCUGGUGGCUUAGCCUCCCUAAAUCCUAAGCUGACUAUCGUUAGGAAGCACUCCUCGACUGCGGCGAAUACUUCAAAUGCAGCUGGAGCAGCAGAGUCUGCAGAUGAUGAUCUGCCUAGUGUCAUGACUUGUGCCAACUAUCUUAAACUUCCGCCAUACUCGACAAAGGAGGUUAUGCACAAGAAGCUGCUUUAUGCUAUCAACGAAGGCCAGGGGUCGUUUGAUCUUUCAUAG
RNAcentral lists this ribosomal RNA (5439 nucleotides) under Triticum aestivum (bread wheat). RNAcentral's name for it is "partial small subunit ribosomal RNA". The record is from RNAcentral. Lineage: Eukaryota; Viridiplantae; Streptophyta; Magnoliopsida; Poales; Poaceae.